GCACAAGCGGUGGAGCAUGUGGUUAAUUCGACGCAACGCGAAGAACUUACCAGGGCUUGACAUCCCCUGACCGCGUAUGAAAGUACGUUUUCACCCUCGGGUGACAGGGAGACAGGUGGUGCAUGGUUGUCGUCAGCUCGUGUCGUGAGAUGUUGGGUUAAGUCCCGCAACGAGCGCAACCCCUACGUUUAGUUGCUAACGCGUGAAGGCGAGCACUCUAGACGAACUGCCGUUGACAAAACGGAGGAAGGUGGGAUGACGUCAAAUCAUCAUGCCCCUUAUGUUCUGGGCUACACACGUGCUACAAUGGCCGGUACAGACGGACGCAAAGCCGCGAGGUGGAGCAAAUCCUAAAAAGCCGGUCUCAGUUCGGAUUGCAGGCUGCAAUUCGCCUGCAUGAAGUCGGAAUCGCUAGUAAUCGCAGGUCAGCAUACUGCGGUGAAUACGUUCCCGGGCCUU
RNAcentral lists this ribosomal RNA (459 nucleotides) under uncultured Pelotomaculum sp. RNAcentral describes it as "bacterial SSU rRNA". It matches the Rfam family "Bacterial small subunit ribosomal RNA", at positions 923 to 1382 of the family's 1533-position model. Lineage: Bacteria; Bacillati; Bacillota; Clostridia; Eubacteriales; Desulfotomaculaceae. The record is from RNAcentral.